AUUGAACGCUGGCGGCAUGCCUUACACAUGCAAGUCGAACGGCAGCACGGGAGUUUGCUCCUGGUGGCGAGUGGCGAACGGGUGAGUAAUACAUCGGAACGUACCCUGAAGUGGGGGAUAACGUAGCGAAAGUUACGCUAAUACCGCAUAUUCUGUGAGCAGGAAAGAGGGGGAUCGCAAGACCUCUUGCUUUAGGAGCGGCCGAUGUCGGAUUAGCUAGUUGGUGAGGUAAAGGCUCACCAAGGCGACGAUCCGUAGCGGGUCUGAGAGGAUGAUCCGCCACACUGGGACUGAGACACGGCCCAGACUCCUACGGGAGGCAGCAGUGGGGAAUUUUGGACAAUGGGCGCAAGCCUGAUCCAGCCAUGCCGCGUGAGUGAAGAAGGCCUCGGGUUGUAAAGCUCUUCGUGGGAGAAUGCUUCGGUUAAUACCUGGAGUAGAUGACGGUACCGCCAUAAGAAGCACCGGCUAACUACGUGCCAGCAGCCGCGGUAA
This 495-nucleotide ribosomal RNA is filed under the name uncultured bacterium. RNAcentral describes it as "bacterial SSU rRNA". It matches the Rfam family "Bacterial small subunit ribosomal RNA", at positions 30 to 523 of the family's 1533-position model. The record is from RNAcentral.